Molecule: small nuclear RNA, 18 nt
Filed under: Arabidopsis thaliana (thale cress)
Lineage: Eukaryota; Viridiplantae; Streptophyta; Magnoliopsida; Brassicales; Brassicaceae
Description: snRNA_01547
Source: RNAcentral
UCAAAUCCUCAAACAUCC